This 240-nucleotide unclassified non-coding RNA is filed under the name soil metagenome. RNAcentral's name for it is "partial contains 5.8S ribosomal RNA, internal transcribed spacer 2, and large subunit ribosomal RNA". The record is from RNAcentral.
AACCUAGCACACCUGCGGUGUGUACCUGCGGAAGGAUCAUUACCGGAGAGAGGCGACUCUCGAAGGCCCAAACCCACUGUGAACUUACCUUGGCUUCUAUGCUUCGGCAGGCGGUCCCAGGGGGGACCUUUGCGUGACAGCGCCUGCCGGAGGACCCAAACUCUUUUUUUUGGCAUCUGUCUGAAGAGACGUUAGGCCUCUUUAGGGGUCGAAAAUCGCUAAAAACUUUCAACAAUGGAU